This 677-nucleotide long non-coding RNA is filed under the name Musa acuminata (dwarf banana). Its description in RNAcentral is "long non-coding RNA (MACU_LNC000201)". The record is from RNAcentral. Lineage: Eukaryota; Viridiplantae; Streptophyta; Magnoliopsida; Zingiberales; Musaceae.
UUAACACUACAAUAGAUAGAUAGAUAGAAAGAUAGAUAGAUAGAUAGGAAUUUAAGUUUCUUGUCAUGGAUUGCUACUUGCCGGAUGGCUCAUCUUUCCUUCUUGACCUUUUAAUCUGAUAACUACAUGUCAUCAAGAUGUAGGUACGGCAAUUUGUUUCUCUCUGAUAUCACUUGCGUAGUUUCUUGAACUUGCUAGCAAUGCAUCAUCUGUUCAUUGCAUCAAAUAUUUCUUAUGUUUUAACACUACAAUAGAUAGAUAGAUAGGAAUUUAAGUUUCUUGUCAUGGAUUGCUACUUGCCGGACGGCUCAUCUUUCCUUCUUGACCUUUUAAUCUGAUAACUACAUGUCAUUCAGAUAUAGGGAGGAUUAAUAUCAUCGAUCACUGAGGCGAAUAUUUCUAGAUAAUUUAUGCCUUCUAGAGUGUAGUUUAUUCAUCACUCAAGGACAACUGGACAUGUUUUCUCCUCAUUCCCUCUCCCAAUGUUCUUUUCUGUAUGGAGGCUGUAGAUUGUCAUCGACCACAAUGCACAACAAUUUAUGAAUUCACUUCCAACAAUUUAUGAAUUCACAACGCUGAACUAUGUUUUGCCUCUUCAUUUGUACUUUUUCUUUGCAGGACUAAUCUACAUCAGCACUUUUUUAUGCUUCUACAUGUUAUCAUGCAAUUGUUCUGCC